AAUAUAAAUCGGCAAAGUAGGGGAAAUCCUAUGACGCAAAACUAUAGGGUCUUUAAAAUGACAGCCAGUUGCAGUU
This 76-nucleotide non-coding RNA is filed under the name Cetobacterium somerae. RNAcentral's name for it is "c-di-GMP sequence". It matches the Rfam family "c-di-GMP-I riboswitch aptamer". From Rfam's summary of the family: GEMM was predicted in a large-scale screen for bacterial structured RNA regulatory elements. Genes associated with GEMM are involved in a diverse array of functions, including chemotaxis regulation, signal transduction, secretion and chitin. Lineage: Bacteria; Fusobacteriati; Fusobacteriota; Fusobacteriia; Fusobacteriales; Fusobacteriaceae. RNAcentral also lists the same sequence under 1 other name. The record is from RNAcentral.